AUUUAUUAUUUUUUUAAUAUGAAAAUUUGGAGCAACUAAUUUAUAAUAUACUCAAUAAAUCAACAAUUGUGAAAUAUUUUAAUUCAUUCAGAAUUUGGAAUAUAACUUAAAAUUACCAUCUGUAUUCUUAUUUUUGAACUCAAUUUUUUUUUUAAUUUUCAUAAAUUUAAAAAAUAUAUCUAUUCAUAAGUACAGUGUGUCUGAAAAGUCCUGCACACAGGCAAAAUACUAAAAUUUACUGUCUUUUGUUCUUUAGUUGCACUUAAUGAUGGUAACAUAGGAAAAACACCAUGCACUGACAGAGAUUCUUGGUGGUGUUUAUUCACUUGGAAUCAAUGUUUAUUGAAGUCUAUGCCAGGCCAAAGGAAUUAAUCUGGCAAACUAUCCUGAAACUAAAAAUACCCUCAUUUAUCAUUUAUGAUAUCCUGAAGAUGGAAAGAUUCCACUCAUUCAAGCUACAUCUUCUGCAUCGUGUAUCAGAUGAUGAUAUGACUGCAGGGUGGAAAUAUGUGCUUUAUUUUUGGACAGGAUGGAUAAGAAGGCAUCUUUCCUAUCUUGUAUGCUGUUUUUUGAUGAGGCCAAUUUUCACAUGAAUGGAAGUUGAUAAACAGAAUCUAUGCUAUUGGUCUCAGGAGAACCCCCAUUGAUAUGAUUCUGGCGGACAGCAAGGUCCAAGCAUAUGGUAUGGUGUGGCCUCUAGAAGGAUUGUAUUAUAGAGCCAUAUUUUUUGAAGAAUGCCAUGCCAUAGCUCCAGAUUAUAUUCCUAUGUGCUCAGCAACUAGCAAUUCCACAUACAGACCCAUGUGGACUCAAUGGCAAACAUAUUGAACAAAUAUUGUGAUUUGGCCUAAGGUGCAAGACUUUUUGGAUAUC
Molecule: long non-coding RNA, 873 nt
Filed under: Androctonus crassicauda
Lineage: Eukaryota; Metazoa; Arthropoda; Arachnida; Scorpiones; Buthidae
Source: RNAcentral